This 294-nucleotide ribosomal RNA is filed under the name Acinetobacter baumannii. RNAcentral describes it as "partial 23S ribosomal RNA". It matches the Rfam family "Bacterial large subunit ribosomal RNA", at positions 2178 to 2471 of the family's 2925-position model. Lineage: Bacteria; Pseudomonadati; Pseudomonadota; Gammaproteobacteria; Moraxellales; Moraxellaceae. The record is from RNAcentral.
GCGUGGAGCCAACCUUGAAAUACCACCCUUUAAUGUUUGAUGUUCUAACGUUGGCCCCUUACCGGGGUUGCGGACAGUGUCUGGUGGGUAGUUUGACUGGGGCGGUCUCCUCCCAAAGCGUAACGGAGGAGCACGAAGGUUAGCUAAUCCUGGUCGGACAUCAGGAGGUUAGUGCAAUGGCAUAAGCUAGCUUGACUGCGAGCGUGACGGCGCGAGCAGGUGCGAAAGCAGGUCAUAGUGAUCCGGUGGUUCUGAAUGGAAGGGCCAUCGCUCAACGGAUAAAAGGUACUCCGG